RNAcentral lists this microRNA precursor (59 nucleotides) under Blattella germanica (German cockroach). RNAcentral describes it as "Bge-Mir-96-P2_pre stem-loop". Lineage: Eukaryota; Metazoa; Arthropoda; Insecta; Blattodea; Blattellidae. The record is from RNAcentral.
CUUGGCACUGGAAGAAUUCACAGAUAUUUUUGAAAUCGUGGAUCUCCCUGUGCCAAAGC